Small nucleolar RNA from Ursus americanus (American black bear), 70 nucleotides. The record is from Ensembl. NCBI's taxonomy places the organism in Eukaryota, Metazoa, Chordata, Mammalia, Carnivora, Ursidae.
UGGACCAAUGAUGAUGGCUGGUGUCGUAUGAAUCAUGGUUGAUGAAUACAUCUCGAACUCUGAGGUCCAA